UCGAUGACUGCUCCUCUUCCUCCUCACUGUCUUCCUCCUCCAAGGUUUCACCGCUGGAGAAGUAGAUAACCUUCUUCUGUUUGGAUGGGCUGGGACCAGCAAAGCUUGUCUCCUGGGCGUUUGCUGCCUUACAGAUCAUAUGCAGCUCAAUCAUCUUCUGUUUGGAUCUAUAAUCCUGAGGUCAAAGGUGGCGUAGACUUCAGCAGUGCACUGCUCGCUGAGAGGCGGCAGCUCGAAUGGGAUUGGCUCAGCCAGGCCGUAGCUCGCCUUCAACUCCAGCUGGGGGGCCUCAGCUGGGACCUUGUGGAAGUAUCUGAGGAAAUAUGUCCAGAGUUGCAAUUUAAAAGAGGAAGGAUUGGGAAAAAGUUUGUGUUUCAGAGGACAGACAGUAUUUAAGUGUCGAUGAUGUCAAUCUCUGCCACUUGUGUUUAAGUGUUGAGCCUAGAUCCAGCAACCAAAUGUGUUACAGCUUAGAAAAAGUAAACGUGUUUUGUUUAAAGUAAGUGUGUACAGCAAAGCAUGUUGCAUUGUUUGUGCUGUAGUAACAGCAGCUGUUGCCAUCAAUGAUAUUAAAUUAAUAUGAUUGUUUUUUGUGAUUGUUAUUGCACAUCUGAGCUUUGUAAAUACAUAAAUGUUCCCACUAAAAUAUGAUGUGUGUUUGCCACGUUGUCAGAGAUGCAGACGUUUCUAUCUAAGACCAACAAUGUGUAAACCAUCUGAGUCUGCAUGCAAGUGUUUGUCUGCCUUGACCGACUCACAUGAAGCCAUUUUCUCUCUGGCACUUCUCCAGUGUGUUUUUAAUGAGGCCGCCCAGUUUGAGGAAGAACAGCUGCUCUGAUGGUUUGGCUGUGGUGCCUGGGCCUUUGGUCUGACGAUACUCUUUACACAGCGCCUCAGCACGGGAGUAGCCUAAACAGAGAUGUCUUCAUGUUAAUACAAAAGAAAUCUAGAUCGUUAGGGCUCUUCAUUACAUAUGAAGAUGUGCCCAAAAAAGAAACAACACAGAGUGCAUGACAUUCAUUAUGAUUCAACUACAUGUAUAUAGAAAUUAGUUAUUUUUCUUGACUGAUUACCAAUCAUAAUUAUUAAUAUCUACAAUUACAUAUUUUCAUCUACACCUGUAUGUGUAUAUAUAUGGUAGAAACAAGGGAAGAGGAGAUGCGUAAUAGUUUAUUAUCAUUAUUGUUGUUAUUAAUGGUAUGUUAUUACUCUGUUUUUGUUAUGUUCUCUGUUAAUAUUAUUACAAAUAUUUAAACUGA
This is a long non-coding RNA of Toxotes jaculatrix (banded archerfish), 1259 nucleotides long. RefSeq lists it as uncharacterized. The transcript is spliced from 3 exons. The record is from RefSeq and is a predicted model, not a curated record. NCBI's taxonomy places the organism in Eukaryota, Metazoa, Chordata, Actinopteri, Toxotidae.